Dreissena polymorpha is the source of this 380-nucleotide long non-coding RNA. RefSeq lists it as uncharacterized. The transcript has 6 exons. Lineage: Eukaryota; Metazoa; Mollusca; Bivalvia; Myida; Dreissenidae. The record is from RefSeq and is a predicted model, not a curated record.
AUAAUUUAAUAAUCUUGAAUACACAACGUCUAAAUGAUAGCUGGAUUAAAAUUGACGAACAGAUACGUGUCAGUUAAACUUCAUUGAUCUGGUUUUCUAAAUGAGAUUACUUGGGUGGACGAUGUUUCGAUAACCGAUAAUAACGAUAUGAAUGAUGUUUGCUGUGUACCUGUGAAUAAUCCUCUGACAUAAAAAUUCAUGACUUACAUACAUCAACCGACAAUUUCUUAAAAUAACAAUGAACAACCGAGAGUCUAGAUGGCAGCGUUUAUUAUUUACUGUGGCGUUUGCUAUGCUGUGGAAGCAUCAGAUUGCUUUUGCAGCUUUGGUGGUGGAUUGGACUGUUUUUUCCGAAGAAUCUGGAACAGUAAGGCUAUGUA